Molecule: ribosomal RNA, 1324 nt
Filed under: uncultured rumen bacterium
Lineage: Bacteria
Description: bacterial SSU rRNA
Rfam family: Bacterial small subunit ribosomal RNA
Source: RNAcentral
CAGGCCUAACACAAGCAAGUCGAACGAAGCCAAAAGGAAGCUUGCUUUCUUUGAAGYUUAGUGGCGGACGGGUGAGUAACGCGUGAGUAACCUGCCCUUCAGUGGGGAAUAACACAGAGAAAUCUGUGCUAAUACCGCAUAACGUCUUCUUGCCGCACGACAGGAAGACCAAAGGAUUUAUUCGCUGAAGGAUGGACUCGCGUCCGAUUAGCUAGUUGGUGAGGUAACGGCCCACCAAGGCGACGAUCGGUAGCCGAACUGAGAGGUUGAUCGGCCACAUUGGGACUGAGACACGGCCCAGACUCCUACGGGAGGCAGCAGUGGGGAAUAUUGGGCAAUGGGCGAAAGCCUGACCCAGCAACGCCGCGUGAAGGAAGACGGUCUUCGGAUUGUAAACUUCUUUGAUUGGGGAAGAAACAAAUGACCUACCCAAAGAACAAGUCACGGCUAACUACGUGCCAGCAGCCGCGGUAAUACGUAGGUGACAAGCGUUAUCCGGAUUUAUUGGGUUUAAAGGGUGCGCAGGCGGCUUGUUAAGCGGGAGGUGAAAUGCCGGUGCUCAACGCCGGAGCUGCCCUUGAUACUGCAGUGCUGGAGUACGGAUGCCGUUGGAGGAAUGAGUGGUGUAGCGGUGAAAUGCAUAGAUAUCACUCAGAACACCGAUUGCGAAGGCAUCUGACGAAUCCGUCACUGACGCUGAGGCACGAAAGCGUGGGGAUAGAACAGGAUUAGAUACCCUGGUAUUCCACGCCGUAAACGAUGAUGACUAACCGCCUGCGAUACAGUGUAGGUGGCCAAGCGAAAGCGAUAAGUCAUCCACCUGGGGAGUACGACCGCAAGGUUGAAACUCAAAGGAAUUGACGGGGGCCCGCACAAGCGGAGGAACAUGUGGUUUAAUUCGAUGAUACGCGAGGAACCUUACCCGGGCUCGAACGGUACAGGACGGACACAGAGAUGUGAACUCCCUUCGGGGCCUGUAUCGAGGUGCUGCAUGGUUGUCGUCAGCUCGUGCCGUGAGGUGUCGGCUCAAGUGCCAUAACGAGCGCAACCCUUGCCGUUAGUUGCCAUCAAGUUAGGUUGGGGACUCUAACGGGACUGCCACCGCAAGGUGUGAGGAGGGGGGGGAUGACGUCAAAUCAGCACGGCCCUUACGUCCGGGGCGACACACGUGUUACAAUGGCGGCCACAGAGGGAAGCUACCUGGUGACAGGAUGCGGAUCUCGAAAAGCCGUCCCAGUUCGGAUCGGAGUCUGCAACCCGACUCCGUGAAGUUGGAUUCGCUAGUAAUCGCGCAUCAGCCAUGGCGCGGUGAAUACGUUCCCGG